CUGAGGCCAAUUGAUUUGUUUGGGCAAAAAUAUGGUUAGUUUGAGCAAUUCCAAUUCAUCAGUCUUACAUUGGCAAUCAAGGAGUCACGAAUAGAUGUAAUAGAUAGUUGGGUGCCAUGAUAAAUCCAUAUCCAUAUUUGAUCAUGAGCAGUGAAUGACACAAUUACCUUUAGCUUAUUAUUAUUAUUGUUAUUAUUACUUUCCUUUCACAUGGUCCAUUGGAUAUCUUCUCGUUCCGUACACUAUAAUCUGAUGUAACCAAAAAAAAGAAAAUACAACACACCACCCAAACCCGGUCCAAUCCGGUCUACCAUGCACCAGAAUCAAGAAAAGCCAUUGAGCCGACCCCGGACCCCAACCUAAGCCGAGCGAGACCAGCUUGUCCCGUGGGUCCCACUCCCCAGUCCUCUCUCCAAGUGCACGUCCUCGGUGAAAGUAAAAGCUCUCCAUUUUCCCCACUAUAAAUACCUUCUCCCUCCUCCCUUCUCUCUGGCGCUCUCUCCUUUCAAGUUUCCCGAGAGAGAGAG
This 527-nucleotide long non-coding RNA is filed under the name Phoenix dactylifera (date palm). RNAcentral's name for it is "long non-coding RNA (PDAC_LNC000900)". Lineage: Eukaryota; Viridiplantae; Streptophyta; Magnoliopsida; Arecales; Arecaceae. The record is from RNAcentral.